AACGCACCUUGCGCUCCUUGGUAUUCCGAGGAGCAUGCCUGUUUGAGUGUCAUUAAAUUCUCAACCCUUUCAGCUUUUGCGAGUUGAAUUGGCUUGGAUGUGGGGGUUUUGCGGGCUUCUUUCAGAAGUCGGCUCCUCUUAAAUGCAUUAGCGGAACCUUUGUGGACCAGCUUUGGUGUGAUAAUUAUCUACGCCAUGGCCGUGAAACAGCUUUACAUGGGGUUCAGCUUCUAACCGUCCAUUAACUUGGACAAUUUCUGACAUUUUGACCUCAAAUCAGGUAGGAUUACCCGCUGAACUUAA
This 303-nucleotide unclassified non-coding RNA is filed under the name uncultured Clitocybe. Its description in RNAcentral is "sequence contains ITS2". The stretch from base 1 to 52 matches the Rfam family "5.8S ribosomal RNA", at positions 103 to 154 of the family's 154-position model. Lineage: Eukaryota; Fungi; Basidiomycota; Agaricomycetes; Agaricales; Tricholomataceae. The record is from RNAcentral.